This 2131-nucleotide long non-coding RNA is filed under the name Cinara cedri. The record is from RNAcentral. Lineage: Eukaryota; Metazoa; Arthropoda; Insecta; Hemiptera; Aphididae.
CAUGUAAAAUGAGAAAAACUGUAAAAACUUUAGUUCUCAUUGAAAUGAAACUUUUAAUUUUACUUCUUAUAUCGAUUUAAUUAAGUAUAGACAUUAGCGCGUUUUACUAUAUUAAUUUGUACGUGUAUUUGAAUUGGCAUACCUUUGAUUCAACGCUAAAAAAUUAUUUUCAAUCGAUCGCCGGUUUCACAUAAAACAAAACAAAAAAAAAAAAAAAAAAACCUAAAAACAUCUCAAAAACCAAUAAAUUACUCAAACGUACCGAAACACGCGACACGAAAUUUAUUACACAUUCGGUUUUGUCGUAAGGCGAAACAGACUUCUAGACGUUUCUACGGAUUUCGGCCGGAAAGGGCCGAUUUUUUAUACGAAUGCGCAAAACAAAUGCCUAAAAUUGAAACGGUAGAAAUCCUACAACGGUAUACAGUAUAAUAAAAGUUACGAAAAAAUUUAAAAAAAAAAAAAAAAAAAAACAAAAAUCGUACCUACAUAAACUCGCGAACUCGUUAAAUUCGUUCGAGUUAAUAUUAUCAUAAUUCAUACAUGCUCGUCCGCCUACGCGAUUUUUCUCGAAUAUAAACUUUCCCCCGUCAUGCCGGUAGGUAUAAGUUAUAACUUUCAAUAACAAUAAUAAUAAUAAUAUUACUGUAGGGGUAGUACGACGGCGCCGAGUUAUAAUUUAUUAUGAAUCGCGACCGAACGAAACACGCGGAAGAAGAAUAUUAAUCCGUCUCGACGCGUAGUUUUCCAUAACGUCGUAAUAAAGUAUAAUACAAUAUUUUUCAGUAUUAUUUGCGUUAUCCGGAAAUGUAGCGGCCGGGGCGUUUCGCGUUCGUUAUUAUAAAUAUUUUUCUUCUCCGCCAGACUCUGGAUAAAAUCCAAUCGCGCGGAUAAACGAACAAAGUAAAAAAAAAAAAAAUGAAAAAAAAAAAAAAAUAAAUAAAUAAGUCGACGCUGCUCACCGGUACAGGACACGCCGUUGGCGUAGUCAUCGGGAAACGUAGGUUAUUAUACAGGGUGACUUAAUUCGUAUUACACGGUCGGCGACGAUAAAUCACCGCGAACCGAAGAAACGGCGGUUCGAAAUAGAAAGAAAAAAAAGCACCUAAUAUAGCCGAACUAAUGAAUAUUUCCGAUAAAUGAAUUCCGCGUAUUUCGCGGUAUCGUGUGAAAAGCGGCGAUAUUUUCCCGUAUAACCCGAGAAAAAGAUUUGAAAAUGAAAAAAAAAAAAAGCCAUAAAAACCGAUUUUUAAUCGGGAUUUUAAUCAGAAAUUUCGCAAUAAGAAAAAAAAAAACUCAAAUACAGAAUCAAAUGGAAAACCCGCAUCAUAUUUUUUAAUGGUAUGACGAAUCCGAAAUGUUUUUACUAAAUAACCGUACGAAUGGUUACGACUUACACCUACCGUUUUCUUCGGCAGGACUGGCGAAGGAUCAGGGUUUUAAAAUACAAAAAAUAAUUAAAAAUAUCUUUACGGGGGUCAAAAACGCUGGUCCUCGGCCCCGUUUAUGUAGCGAAUCCGUAUGCAUUAUGCGUUUUCCAUUCGAGGACCGGGUGCAUAUAACGCAUUAGUCCCUCAUUUUGAAAGAGCAAUGAACUAACGAACAAAAUUUUCGAGAAAAUAUAAUUUAAUAAGAGUCCCAAGAUAAUGGAGAUUAGUGUAGCUAUUGUUAUAGGUAAUUCAAUGUAUAUUUAUAAGCAACGAUACAACGAUACGACCAUUGCUAACGAAAAAACAAUUCUGAACGCAGUUCGGUUGAUGGUGAUGCUUUGUCAAUAUAUGUCACAUUAUGGUAAAAUAAUUAAAUAGGCAUUAUACAUUUUUUUUAAUAAUAUUUGUUUAAUAUUGUACCGGUUUUGCCGAUUUUCCCGAUUUUUCACAUUCGCUGGGAAAAUCAAAAAAUAACUUCCCGAAAGUACAUUCUCAGUUUUACUUUCAGAACAAGUGUUAUCAUUGUAACCUCAAUCAAACCUUUGACCACAAAUAAUACUCUAAGUGACUCCUGUUAAAUAUUCAAUAAUUUCUUAUAAGUCUAUUAACAAUCUUAAAAUAAAAAUAAAAAUAAAAAUAAAAAUUACGUACAAAACUCGCAAAAUUAAAAUGUCUAUAAAUAGCUCAAAAAAAAUGGCUUG